This 309-nucleotide ribosomal RNA is filed under the name Staphylococcus aureus. RNAcentral's name for it is "bacterial SSU rRNA". It matches the Rfam family "Bacterial small subunit ribosomal RNA", at positions 1096 to 1406 of the family's 1533-position model. The record is from RNAcentral. Lineage: Bacteria; Bacillati; Bacillota; Bacilli; Caryophanales; Staphylococcaceae.
GCGCAACCCUUAAGCUUAGUUGCCAUCAUUAAGUUGGGCACUCUAAGUUGACUGCCGGUGACAAACCGGAGGAAGGUGGGGAUGACGUCAAAUCAUCAUGCCCCUUAUGAUUUGGGCUACACACGUGCUACAAUGGACAAUACAAAGGGCAGCGAAACCGCGAGGUCAAGCAAAUCCCAUAAAGUUGUUCUCAGUUCGGAUUGUAGUCUGCAACUCGACUACAUGAAGCUGGAAUCGCUAGUAAUCGUAGAUCAGCAUGCUACGGUGAAUACGUUCCCGGGUCUUGUACACACCGCCCGUCACACCACG